CUACGGGAGGCUGCAGUGGGGAAUAUUGGACAAUGGGCGAAAGCCUGAUCCAGCCAUGCCGCGUGUGUGAAGAAGGCCUUCGGGUUGUAAAGCACUUUCAGUGGGGAAGAAAGCCUUGGGGCUAAUACCCUCGAGGAAGGACAUCACCCACAGAAGAAGCACCGGCUAACUCCGUGCCAGCAGCCGCGGUAAUACGGAGGGUGCGAGCGUUAAUCGGAAUUACUGGGCGUAAAGCGCGCGUAGGCGGUCUGAUAAGCCGGUUGUGAAAGCCCCGGGCUCAACCUGGGAACGGCAUCCGGAACUGUCAGGCUAGAGUGCAGGAGAGGAAGGUAGAAUUCCCGGUGUAGCAGUGAAAUGCGUAGAGAUCGGGAGGAAUACCAGUGGCGAAGGCGGCCUUCUGGACUGACACUGACGCUGAGGUGCGAAAGCGUGGGUAGCAAACAGGAUUAGAUACCCGUGUAGUC
Molecule: ribosomal RNA, 464 nt
Filed under: Vreelandella stevensii
Lineage: Bacteria; Pseudomonadati; Pseudomonadota; Gammaproteobacteria; Oceanospirillales; Halomonadaceae
Description: partial 16S ribosomal RNA
Rfam family: Bacterial small subunit ribosomal RNA
Source: RNAcentral